This 489-nucleotide ribosomal RNA is filed under the name uncultured bacterium. RNAcentral's name for it is "bacterial SSU rRNA". It matches the Rfam family "Bacterial small subunit ribosomal RNA", at positions 501 to 987 of the family's 1533-position model. The record is from RNAcentral.
CUACGUGCCAGCAGCCGCGGUAAUACGUAUGUCGCAAGCGUUAUCCGGAAUUAUUGGGCAUAAAGGGCAUCUAGGCGGCCAGAUAAGUCUGGGGUGAAAACUUGCGGCUCAACCGCAAGCCUGCCCUGGAAACUAUGUGGCUAGAGUACUGGAGAGGUGGACGGAACUGCACGAGUAGAGGUGAAAUUCGUAGAUAUGUGCAGGAAUGCCGAUGAUGAAGAUAGUUCACUGGACGGUAACUGACGCUGAAGUGCGAAAGCUAGGGGAGCAAACAGGAUUAGAUACCCUGGUAGUCCACGCUGUAAACGUUGGGCACUAGGUGUGGGGGACAUUCCACGUUUUCCGCGCCGUAGCUAACGCAUUAAGUGCCCCGCCUGGGGAGUACGGCCGCAAGGCUAAAACUCAAAGAAAUUGACGGGGGCCCGCACAAGCGGCGGAGCAUGCGGAUUAAUUCGAUGCAACGCGAAGAACCUUACCAAGGCUUGACAU